ACUUUGGUGGGAUAAGUUUUAAUCUUACCUCUUCUUUGAAAAAAGUCCCCCAGCUAUCUGGGGGGCUUUUUUUGUGCUAUUCGAACCCAGACUC
RNAcentral lists this transfer RNA (94 nucleotides) under Hymenobacter qilianensis. RNAcentral's name for it is "tRNA-Gln". The record is from RNAcentral. Lineage: Bacteria; Pseudomonadati; Bacteroidota; Cytophagia; Cytophagales; Hymenobacteraceae.